GACGAACGCUGGCGGCGUGCCUAAUACAUGCAAGUCGAACGCAGUGGGGACGGGUGAGUAACACGUGGGUAACCUCCCAUCAGAGGGGAUAACACUUGGAAACAGGUGCUAAACCCAACCUGAUGGAUGGCCCCGCGGUGCAUUAACUAGUUGGGGAGGUACCGGCUCACCAAGGCCAAGAUGCAUAGCCGACCUGCGAGGGUGAUCGGCCACACUGGGACUGAGACACGGCCCAGACGCCUACGGGAGGCAGAAGUAGGGAAUCUUCGGCAAUGGACGAAAGUCUGACCGAGCAACGCCGCGUGAGUGAAGAAGGUUUUCGGAUCGUAAAACUCUGUUGUUAGAGAAGCGGUAUCUAACCAGAAAGCCACGGCUAACUACGUGCCAGCAGCCGCGGUAAUAC
RNAcentral lists this ribosomal RNA (403 nucleotides) under uncultured bacterium. Its description in RNAcentral is "partial 16S ribosomal RNA". It matches the Rfam family "Bacterial small subunit ribosomal RNA", at positions 28 to 526 of the family's 1533-position model. The record is from RNAcentral.